RNAcentral lists this ribosomal RNA (492 nucleotides) under uncultured bacterium. Its description in RNAcentral is "partial 16S ribosomal RNA". It matches the Rfam family "Bacterial small subunit ribosomal RNA", at positions 29 to 507 of the family's 1533-position model. The record is from RNAcentral.
AGUGAACGCUGGCGGUAGGCCUAACACAUGCAAGUCGAACGGCAGCACAGUAAGAGCUUGCUCUUACGGGUGGCGAGUGGCGGACGGGUGAGGAAUACAUCGGAAUCUACUUUUUCGUGGGGGAUAACGCAGGGAAACUUACGCUAAUACCGCAUACGACCUACGGGUGAAAGCAGGGGAUCUUCGGACCUUGCGCGAUUGAAUGAGCCGAUGUCGGAUUAGCUAGUUGGCGGGGUAAAGGCCCACCAAGGCGACGAUCCGUAGCUGGUCUGAGAGGAUGAUCAGCCACACUGGAACUGAGACACGGUCCAGACUCCUACGGGAGGCAGCAGCGGGGAAUAUUGGACAAUGGGCGCAAGCCUGAUCCAGCCAUACCGCGUGGGUGAAGAAGGCCUUCGGGUUGUAAAGCCCUUUUGUUGGGAAAGAAAAGCAGCAGGUUAAUACCCCGCUGUUCUGACGGUACCCAAAGAAUAAGCACCGGCUAACUUCGUG